CAAUAGCGUAUAUUACAGUUGUUGCGGUUAAAAAGCUCGUAGUUGGAUUUCUGCCGAGGACGACCGGUCCGCCCUCUGGGCGUGUAUCUGGUUUGGCCUGGGCAUCUUCUUGGAGAACGUAGCUGCACUUGACUGUGUGGUGCGGUGUCCAGGACUUUUACUUUGAGGAAAUCAGAAUGUUUCAAGCAGGCACACGCCUUGAAUACAUUAGCAUGGAAUAAUAAGAUAGGAUCUCGGUUCUAUUUUGUUGGCUUCUAGAGCUGAGGUAAUGAUUAAUAGUGACAGUUAGAGGCAUUCGUAUUUAAUUGUCAGAAGUGAAAUUCUUAGUUUUGUUGAAGACGAACUACUGCGAAAGCAUUUGCCAAUGAUGUUUUCAUUGA
RNAcentral lists this ribosomal RNA (380 nucleotides) under uncultured eukaryote. RNAcentral's name for it is "partial 18S ribosomal RNA". It matches the Rfam family "Eukaryotic small subunit ribosomal RNA", at positions 592 to 976 of the family's 1831-position model. The record is from RNAcentral.